UGUCCUAAUCACGUAAGUAUGGGUAUUGUCAGGUGUUUCGAGAAUUUCCAGUCGUCGAAAUUUUCUCAAGACACUCACGCAUUGUCGGAGCUUGUGGCGGCUCAUGGGCAAGGUUUGAGUGACCCAUUUGGUCCUAAAAUGAUCCCUAUGAAGUCCCGAGCACGACGGUAUGCUUGGAUUUGAAUUUGGUUAUUGUUUGACGGUCGAUCAGAUUUACGCAUAGUAGGCAUUAUCCGGGUUCAAUAUGUUCGGACCGUUGGAUCAACUCCAUUUCCAAAUAUGUUGAUCUAUGCACCUUUAGAGCAACUCCACCCCUUAGGGCAAAGUCUAAGGCAAGGGCAAGCAAGGGCAAGCAAGGGCUGACACUAUUCACGUGAACAGUGUCAGCCUUGCCAUUUGUGGUUCCACCCACAAGGGCAAAGUCUAGGGCAAGUCUAGGGCAAUUACUAUUCAUUGUACUUUA
Molecule: long non-coding RNA, 463 nt
Filed under: Prunus persica (peach)
Lineage: Eukaryota; Viridiplantae; Streptophyta; Magnoliopsida; Rosales; Rosaceae
Description: long non-coding RNA (PPER_LNC004829)
Source: RNAcentral